CACGUAGUUAGCCGGUGCUUUUUCUGCAGGUACCGUCAAACCGAAGUCCUUCUUCCCUACUAAAAGAGGUUUACAACCCGAAGGCCGUCAUCCCCCACGCGGCGUUGCUGCAUCAGGCUUUCGCCCAUUGUGCAAUAUUCCCCACUGCUGCCUCCCGUAGGAGUCUGGGCCGUGUCUCAGUCCCAGUGUGGCCGGUCACCCUCUCAGGCCGGCUACCCGUCGUCGCCUUGGUGAGCCAUUACCUCACCAACAAGCUGAUAGGCCGCGAGUCCAUCCUUGACCGAAAAACUUUCCACCCGCACCCGAUGCCGGGGCAGGUCGUAUCCGGUAUUAGACGCCGUUUCCAGCGCUUAUCCCAGAGUCAAGGGCAGGUUACUCACGUGUUACUCACCCGUUCGCCACUAAUCCACCCAGCAAGCUGGGCUUCAUCGUUCGACUUGCAUGUGUUAAGCACGCCGCCAGCGUUCGUCCUGAGCCAGGAUCAAACUCU
This 490-nucleotide ribosomal RNA is filed under the name uncultured Rathayibacter sp. RNAcentral's name for it is "partial 16S ribosomal RNA". Lineage: Bacteria; Bacillati; Actinomycetota; Actinomycetes; Micrococcales; Microbacteriaceae. The record is from RNAcentral.